CCUACGGGAGGCUGCAGUGGGGAAUAUUGCACAAUGGGGGAAACCCUGAUGCAGCGACGCCGCGUGAGCGAUGAAGUAUUUCGGGAUGUUAAGCUCUAUUAACAGGGAAGAAAAUGACGGUACCUGACUAAGAAUCCACGGCUAACUUCGUGCCAGCAGCCGCGGUAAUACGGAGGGGGCAAGCGUUAUCCGGAUUUACUGGGUGUAAAGGGGGCGUAGACGGCGGUGAAAGUCAGAUGUGAAAGCCCGGGGCUCAACCCCGGGACUGCAUUUGGAACUGUGCUGCUAGAGUGUCGGUGAGGCAGGCGGAAUUCGUAGUGUAGCGGUGAAAUGCGUAGAUAUUAGGAGGAACACCAGUGGCGAAGGCGGCCUGCUGGGCGAUGACUGACGUUGAUGCUCGAAAGCGUGGGGAGCAAACAGGAUUAGAUACCCGAGUAGUC
RNAcentral lists this ribosomal RNA (440 nucleotides) under uncultured bacterium. RNAcentral's name for it is "partial 16S ribosomal RNA". It matches the Rfam family "Bacterial small subunit ribosomal RNA", at positions 338 to 795 of the family's 1533-position model. The record is from RNAcentral.